This 232-nucleotide ribosomal RNA is filed under the name Fusarium sp. RNAcentral's name for it is "partial large subunit ribosomal RNA". It matches the Rfam family "Eukaryotic large subunit ribosomal RNA", at positions 104 to 339 of the family's 3401-position model. Lineage: Eukaryota; Fungi; Ascomycota; Sordariomycetes; Hypocreales; Nectriaceae. The record is from RNAcentral.
ACAGCUCAAAUUUGAAAUCUGGCUUUCGGGCCCGAGUUGUAAUUUGUAGAGGAUACUUUUGAUGCGGUGCCUUCCGAGUUCCCUGGAACGGGACGCCAUAGAGGGUGAGAGCCCCGUCUGGUUGGAUGCCAAAUCUCUGUAAAGUUCCUUCGACGAGUCGAGUAGUUUGGGAAUGCUGCUCUAAAUGGGAGGUAUAUGUCUUCUAAAGCUAAAUAUUGGCCAGAGACCGAUA